GGCUCUUCAUAGCUGAGUUGGAGCAGCACUGCGGCGCUAACGCAGAUGCCUUGGGUUCGAAUCCCAUUGAAGCCU
RNAcentral lists this transfer RNA (75 nucleotides) under Acropora cervicornis. RNAcentral's name for it is "tRNA-Ser". It matches the Rfam family "tRNA". Rfam says of the family: Transfer RNA (tRNA) molecules are approximately 80 nucleotides in length. Lineage: Eukaryota; Metazoa; Cnidaria; Anthozoa; Scleractinia; Acroporidae. The record is from RNAcentral.